Molecule: long non-coding RNA, 1430 nt
Organism: Carassius gibelio (silver crucian carp)
Lineage: Eukaryota; Metazoa; Chordata; Actinopteri; Cypriniformes; Cyprinidae
Exons: 3
Source: RefSeq, a predicted model, not a curated record
UGUAAAAUUUUUCCAGGAUUUCACAAGAUAUAACUGUAAUAUUUCACAGUUAAUUACAUUAUUACCACUUCACAGGCUUUAACUGUGAUCAUUCACAAUAUAAUACCGUAUUUAGACUUUUACUGUGAAAAUAAUGCAGGCGCGGGGCUUUUACAAGAAACUACUGUGAAUGCCGUCUUUUUUGAGUGGCAACUGCGGAAGCGUCAUCAGAGCGUCAUCAGAGCUCUCUGAUCUACGUGGUCUCAUUCGGUGGAUUCAGACAGCGGUAAGUGUUUAAAUGUCAAACUUUAUCAAUUUGAUGUUUUUUAUAUGAAAGUGCAUGUAAUUUAAAAGUAUGAACCAAAUUAGCGUUAGUUGUAGGUUCUGUUGUCAUGUUUUUGUAACUUAGCUGGAGCAGACUCGCAUCAACGUUUAAGCGCGCAAAUUUGAAUGAAAAGACGUUGGUUGUAGUGUUAAUUAUACCGUAUUAAGUUAACUGUGAGUUGUCUGAUUAGAUACACCGUCGAACAUUUAACUUUAGCUUUACUUAAAGCUUAUCUUAGUUACUAACAGCGUUCUCUCUUUUACCACAGCAUUUUCUACAUUGACCGAAGAUAAAAAAAAAAGUUAUAAGGUGCUUCUUGGGCAUCAACCCAGAGACGGGCACAAAAUCUAAGAGGCAGAGAGGUCACAUGAACCAGCAAGUCUGCACUCUUAUCAAGAAGCUCAUUGACUUCGAAUGGAUGUCAAUCUAAUUGGAUAGAACCCACACUAUGCAGGUGCCAGCUGCGAGGGAAGGAGAGAGACACCUGCGACCCUCUCUAUUCCCACCUUUUUGUCUUUUCUUACAUCUCUCUCCCUCACUCUCUCUUCUCUGUCUCCUUCUUUCUCUUUUGACACACAUUCCUGUUACCCAGUGUCAAUCCCUGUUGCCCAGUGUUUUCUUCAUGUAAUUAAAUUGUAUUUUACUUCUAAAAAAUAAAAGUUAUGUCACUGUUUUUAUCAGUUUUGUUUGGUCCAUCAUUUAUGCUAAAUCACAGUAAUAGAUAGACAUUCACAGUUAUGUACAGUAAUUCUACAGCUGCUUACUGCUAAAUUACAGUAAUAGACUAAUUUCACAGUUAAAUACAUUAAUUCUACAUCUGCUUGCUGCUAAAUUACAGUAAUAUACACUAAUUUCACAGUUAAAUACAUGAAUUCUACAGCUGCUUACUGUUAAAUUACAGUAAUACAUAGACACCAACUGUAAUUUCACAGUUAAAUACAUUAAUUCUACAGCAGCUUACCGCUAAAUCACAGUAAUGCGAUGUCAGAAUUACUGUGAAGUCACAGUAUACAGCUGUCAUUUCACAAUAAUUUACUGUAAAAAUGUUACAGUAACUUACUGUGAAAGUCAUGCAAUUAUUAACCUGCAAUUUAUUGUAAAUUUACAGUCAAAUAAUUAACAGUGU